UAGGGAAUCUUCCGCAAUGGGCGAAAGCCUGACGGAGCAACGCCGCGUGAGUGAUGAAGGUCUUCGGAUCGUAAAACUCUGUUAUUAGGGAAGAACAUAUGUGUAAGUAACUGUGCACAUCUUGACGGUACCUAAUCAGAAAGCCACGGCUAACUACGUGCCAGCAGCCGCGGUAAUACGUAGGUGGCAAGCGUUAUCCGGAAUUAUUGGGCGUAAAGCGCGCGUAGGCGGUUUUUUAAGUCUGAUGUGAAAGCCCACGGCUCAACCGUGGAGGGUCAUUGGAAACUGGAAAACUUGAGUGCAGAAGAGGAAAGUGGAAUUCCAUGUGUAGCGGUGAAAUGCGCAGAGAUAUGGAGGAACACCAGUGGCGAAGGCGACUUUCUGGUCUGUAACUGACGCUGAUGUGCGAAAGCGUGGGGAUCAAACAGGAUUAGAUACCCUGGUAGUCCACGCCGUAAACGAUGAGUGCUAAGUGUUAGGGGGUUUCCGCCCCUUAGUGCUGCAGCUAACGCAUUAAGCACUCCGCUUGGGGAGUACGACCGCAAGGUUG
RNAcentral lists this ribosomal RNA (550 nucleotides) under uncultured bacterium. RNAcentral describes it as "bacterial SSU rRNA". It matches the Rfam family "Bacterial small subunit ribosomal RNA", at positions 355 to 896 of the family's 1533-position model. The record is from RNAcentral.